GUAGCUCAGUGGUUAGAGCAUCUGACCGGUGUACGGAAGGUCAUGGGUUCGAAUCCCUGAAUACA
Non-coding RNA from Desmophyllum pertusum, 65 nucleotides. Lineage: Eukaryota; Metazoa; Cnidaria; Anthozoa; Scleractinia; Caryophylliidae. The record is from the annotation of a GenBank genome assembly.